UUGUAAUUUGUAGAGGAUGCUUUUGGCAAGGCGCCGCCCGAGUUCCCUGGAACGGGACGCCACAGAGGGGGAGAGCCCCGUCUGGCUGGCCGCCGAGCCUCUGUAAAGCUCCUUCGACGAGUCGAGUAGUUUGGGAAUGCUGCUCAAAAUGGGAGGUAUAUGUCUUCUAAAGCUAAAUAUUGGCCAGAGACCGAUAGCGCACAAGUAGAGUGAUCGAAAGAUGAAAAGCACCUUGAAAAGAGGGUUAAAUAGUACGUGAAAUUGUUGAAAGGAAAGCGCUUGUGACCAGACUUGGGCGCGGCGGAUCAUCCGGGGUUCUCCCCGGUGCACUUCGCCGCGUCCAGGCCAGCAUCAGUUCGUCGCGGGGGAAAAAGGCUUCGGNAACGUGGCUCCCCUGGGAGUGUUAUAGCCCGUUGCAUAAUACCCUGCGGUGGACUGAGGACCGCGCAUCUGCAAGGAUGCUGGCGUAAUGGUCACCAGCGACCCGUCUUGAAACACGGACCAAGGA
RNAcentral lists this ribosomal RNA (508 nucleotides) under soil fungal sp. DM2-143. RNAcentral describes it as "eukaryotic LSU rRNA". It matches the Rfam family "Eukaryotic large subunit ribosomal RNA", at positions 143 to 672 of the family's 3401-position model. The record is from RNAcentral. Lineage: Eukaryota; Fungi.